AUUGAACGCUGGCGGCAGGCCUAACACAUGCAAGUCGAGCGGAUGAAGGGAGCUUGCUCCUGGAUUCAGCGGCGGACGGGUGAGUAAUGCCUAGGAAUCUGCCUGGUAGUGGGGGAUAACGUCCGGAAACGGGCGCUAAUACCGCAUACGUCCUGAGGGAGAAAGUGGGGGAUCUUCGGACCUCACGCUAUCAGAUGAGCCUAGGUCGGAUUAGCUAGUUGGUGGGGUAAAGGCCUACCAAGGCGACGAUCCGUAACUGGUCUGAGAGGAUGAUCAGUCACACGGGAACUGAGACACGGUCCAGACUCCUACGGGAGGCAGCAGUGGGGAAUAUUGGACAAUGGUCGAAAGCCCGAUCCAGCCAUGCCGCGUGUGUGAAGAAGGUCUUCGGAUUGUAAAGCACUUUAAGUUGGGAGGAAGGGCAGUAAGUUAAUACCUUGCUGUUUUGACGUUACCAACAGAAUAAGCACCGGCUAACUUCGUG
RNAcentral lists this ribosomal RNA (484 nucleotides) under uncultured bacterium. RNAcentral describes it as "partial 16S ribosomal RNA". It matches the Rfam family "Bacterial small subunit ribosomal RNA", at positions 30 to 507 of the family's 1533-position model. The record is from RNAcentral.